RNAcentral lists this ribosomal RNA (483 nucleotides) under uncultured bacterium. RNAcentral describes it as "partial 16S ribosomal RNA". It matches the Rfam family "Bacterial small subunit ribosomal RNA", at positions 30 to 507 of the family's 1533-position model. The record is from RNAcentral.
AUUGAACGCUGGCGGCAGGCCUAACACAUGCAAGUCGAGCGGAUGAAGGGAGCUUGCUCCUGGAUUCAGCGGCGGACGGGUGAGUAAUGCCUAGGAAUCUGCCUGGUAGUGGGGGAUAACGUCCGGAAACGGGCGCUAAUACCGCAUACGUCCUGAGGGGGAAAGUGGGGGAUCUUCGGACCCCACGCUAUCAGAUGAGCCUAGGUCGGAUUAGCUAGUUGGUGGGGUAAAGGCCUACCAAGGCGACGAUCCGUAACUGGUCUGAGAGGAUGAUCAGUCACACUGGAACUGAGACACGGCCAGACUCCUACGGGAGGCAGCAGUGGGGAAUAUUGGACAAUGGGCGAAAGCCUGAUCCAGCCAUGCCGCGUGUGUGAAGAAGGUCUUCGGAUUGUAAAGCACUUUAAGUUGGGAGGAAGGGCAGUAAGUUAAUACCUUGCUGUUUUGACGUUACCAACAGAAUAAGCACCGGCUAACUUCGUG